GAUGAACGCUAGCGGCAGGCUUAACACAUGCAAGUCGAGGGGUAACAGAGUAGCUUGCUAUUGCUGACGACCGGCGAACGGGUGCGUAACGCGUAUAGAAUCUGCCUUGUACAGGAGGAUAGCCUUUAGAAAUGAAGAUUAAUACUCCAUAAUGUAGAGUUGUGGCAUCACAAUUUUAUUAAAGAUUUAUUGGUACAAGAUGACUAUGCGUCCUAUUAGCUAGAUGGUAAGGUAACGGCUUACCAUGGCAACGAUAGGUAGGGGGUCUGAGAGGAUUAUCCCCCACACUGGUACUGAGACACGGACCAGACUCCUACGGGAGGCAGCAGUGAGGAAUAUUGGUCAAUGGAGGCAACUCUGAACCAGCCAUGCCGCGUGCAGGAAGACUGCCCUAUGGGUUGUAAACUGCUUUUAUA
This 416-nucleotide ribosomal RNA is filed under the name Flexibacter sp. A37. Its description in RNAcentral is "bacterial SSU rRNA". It matches the Rfam family "Bacterial small subunit ribosomal RNA", at positions 28 to 440 of the family's 1533-position model. Lineage: Bacteria; Pseudomonadati; Bacteroidota; Cytophagia; Cytophagales; Flexibacteraceae. The record is from RNAcentral.